This 466-nucleotide ribosomal RNA is filed under the name uncultured bacterium. Its description in RNAcentral is "bacterial SSU rRNA". It matches the Rfam family "Bacterial small subunit ribosomal RNA", at positions 29 to 524 of the family's 1533-position model. The record is from RNAcentral.
AACGAACGCUGGCGGCAUGCCUAACACAUGCAAGUCGAACGAAACCAAGGCUUCGGCCUGAAGUUUAGUGGCGCACGGAUGCGUAACGCGUGGGAAUCUGCCCUUGGGUUCGGAAUAACUCAGAGAAAUUUGAGCUAAUACCGGAUGAUGACGUAAGUCCAAAGAUUUAUCGCCCAAGGAUGAGCCCGCGUAAGAUUAGCUUGUUGGUGAGGUAAAGGCUCACCAAGGCGACGAUCUUUAGCUGGUCUGAGAGGAUGAUCAGCCACACUGGGACUGAGACACGGCCCAGACUCCUACGGGAGGCAGCAGUCGGGGGAAUAUUGGACAAUGGGCGAAAGCCUGAUCCAGCAAUGCCGCGUGAGUGAUGAAGGCCUUAGGGUUGUAAAGCUCUUUUACCCUAGGGAUGGAUAAUGACAGUACCUGGAGAAUAAGCUCCGGCUAACUCCGUGCCAGCAGCCGCGGUAAU